This 248-nucleotide ribosomal RNA is filed under the name uncultured Lachnospiraceae bacterium. RNAcentral's name for it is "partial 16S ribosomal RNA". It matches the Rfam family "Bacterial small subunit ribosomal RNA", at positions 524 to 771 of the family's 1533-position model. The record is from RNAcentral. Lineage: Bacteria; Bacillati; Bacillota; Clostridia; Lachnospirales; Lachnospiraceae.
UACGUAGGGGGCGAGCGUUAUCCGGAUUUACUGGGUGUAAAGGGAGCGCAGGCGGUGUGGCAAGUCAGAUGUGAAAACCCGGGGCCCAACCCCGGGAGUGCAUUUGAAACUGCUUCCCUUGAGUAUCGGAGAGGUAACCGGAAUUCCUAGUGUAGCGGUGAAAUGCGUAGAUAUUAGGAAGAACACCAGUGGCGAAGGCGGCUUGCUGGACGGUAACUGACGCUGAGGCUCGAAAGCGUGGGGAGCAA